AUUGAACGCUGGCGGCAGGCCUAACACAUGCAAGUCGGACGGUAGCACUGAGGAGCUUGCUCCUCGGGUGACGAGUGGCGGACGGGUGAGUAAUGUCUGGGGAUCUGCCCGAUAGAGGGGGAUAACCACUGGAACCGGUGGCUAAUACCGCAUAACGUCGCAAGACCAAAGAGGGGGACCUUCGGGCCUCUCACUACAGGAUGAACCCAGAUGGGAUUAGCUAGUAGGCGGGGUAACGGCCCACCUAGGCGACGAUCCCUAGCUGGUCUGAGAGGAUGACCAGCCACACUGGAACUGAGACACGGUCCAGACUCCUACGGGAGGCAGCAGUGGGGAAUAUUGCACAAUGGGCGCAAGCCUGAUGCAGCCAUGCCGCGUGUAUGAAGAAGGCCUUCGGGUUGUAAAGUACUUUCAGCGGGGAGGAAGGCGAUGUGGUUAAUAACCGCGUCGAUUGACGUUACCCGCAGAAGAAGCACCGGCUAACUCCGUGCCAGCCGCCGCUGUAA
Molecule: ribosomal RNA, 506 nt
Filed under: uncultured bacterium
Lineage: Bacteria
Description: partial 16S ribosomal RNA
Rfam family: Bacterial small subunit ribosomal RNA
Source: RNAcentral